UUUUCGUGUUAUAAUAGGAUGGAUUUUAACAUUACUGCUAUUAGCAACUGUUAGUUUUGGAUCCCCUCUAAACAGACUAAAAAGCAGUGCCAAAGCGAAUCGUAUAUGCGUGACAAUUUACAUAGAUCCUGUCACCGGAAAGGAGAGGUUAAUCGGCCGAGGCUGCUAAUAAUAUCAAGUGAAUAAAAACUUAACACCAGA
Molecule: long non-coding RNA, 201 nt
Organism: Manduca sexta (tobacco hornworm)
Lineage: Eukaryota; Metazoa; Arthropoda; Insecta; Lepidoptera; Sphingidae
Exons: 2
Source: RefSeq, a predicted model, not a curated record